RNAcentral lists this transfer RNA (73 nucleotides) under Bacteroidota bacterium. Its description in RNAcentral is "Bacteroidetes bacterium (activated sludge metagenome) tRNA-Glu". It matches the Rfam family "tRNA". From Rfam's summary of the family: Transfer RNA (tRNA) molecules are approximately 80 nucleotides in length. Their secondary structure includes four short double-helical elements and three loops (D, anti-codon, and T loops). Lineage: Bacteria; Pseudomonadati; Bacteroidota. The record is from RNAcentral.
GGCCUGUUCGACUAGGGGUUUAGGUCAUCGCCCUUUCACGGCGGUAACACGGGUUCGAAUCCCGUACAGGCUA